Molecule: ribosomal RNA, 497 nt
Filed under: uncultured bacterium
Lineage: Bacteria
Description: partial 16S ribosomal RNA
Rfam family: Bacterial small subunit ribosomal RNA
Source: RNAcentral
GAUGAACGCUGGCGGCGUGCCUAAUACAUGCAAGUCGAGCGAACAGGACAGGAGCUUUGUCCCCCGACGGUAGCGGGGGAAGGGGGGGGAACAAGUGGAUAACCUAACUAAUAGACUGGGAUAAACUCGGGGAAACGGGGCUAAUUCCGGAUAAUAUAUUUAAACGCAAUGGUCAAUAGUGAAAGACGGUUUUGGUGUCACUUAUAGAUUGAUCCGCGCCGCAUUAGCUAGUUGGGAAGGUAACGGCUUACCAAGGCAACGAUGCGGAGCCGACCUGAGAGGGUGAUCGGCCACACUGGAACUGAGACACGGUCCAGACUCCUACGGGAGGCAGCAGUAGGGAAUCUUCCGCAAUGGGCGAAAGCCUGACGGAGCAACGCCGCGUGAGUGAUGAAGGUCUUCGGAUCGUAAAACUCUGUUAUUAGGGAAGAACAAAUGUGUAAGUAACUAUGCACGUCUUGACGGUACCUAAUCAGAAAGCCACGGCUAACUACGUG